Molecule: non-coding RNA, 30 nt
Filed under: Mus musculus (house mouse)
Lineage: Eukaryota; Metazoa; Chordata; Mammalia; Rodentia; Muridae
Source: RNAcentral
UCUCUUACCUUCCUCAUGUGGGCAGCUAUC